UUGAAUCAACGUUGUAUCUUCAGUCUUUAGAAGGAUAUCUUUCUUGUGCAAACAAAACCCAAAAAACAUUUAUGGCAGAGUAUUUCCUUAUUGCAUUAAACAGAUGAAGCCUGUGAGAUGCCUACAUCUUGCAGGCACAUUGGAGAGAGGAGACAGAGGAAAUACUGUAGUGGUGAUGAGCAUGUUGAAGCCUUUGCAAGACCUUCGAUGGCCGGAUGCUACACCAGGGGAAAUACUAAAAGCAAUGUCAGAAAUCAAUAAAUCAAAUCAUAUCAAAUCAAAUAAAAUUUCAUGUCAAAUAAUAUCAGGCCUAGGAAGGCUCACAAACACCAGAAUCGGCAACGAGCAAGGUCCCCCCUUGACUUGCAGGAUAUCGAUAUCGAUGCAAUACUACA
Molecule: long non-coding RNA, 395 nt
Organism: Strongylocentrotus purpuratus (purple sea urchin)
Lineage: Eukaryota; Metazoa; Echinodermata; Echinoidea; Camarodonta; Strongylocentrotidae
Exons: 2
Source: RefSeq, a predicted model, not a curated record